Long non-coding RNA from Oreochromis aureus, 922 nucleotides. The record is from Ensembl. NCBI's taxonomy places the organism in Eukaryota, Metazoa, Chordata, Actinopteri, Cichliformes, Cichlidae.
GGCGACCGCCGAUCGACCGGUGGUAGAUCAUGGAUCAGGGAAACCGAAGGCAGGAGAAGCAGGCGGCUGCCGGUCGGAGCGUGAGGUGAACUGAAUUUCAGAUGGAAGUUAUUUGUUGGUGAAGAGUAUAUAAAGACCUGUGUGAGUGUGUUUCACAUCUGUAUCAAACUCUUCAGCCACUCAUCAUGGACAAAAACACGUUGCUGGUCCUUUUGUGUCUGCAGGCGAUCCUGCUCAUCACGGCCUCGUCUGAGAUGACAGCUGAACAGCCGACACCGACAGAGGAGAUAACUUCUGUACACAGCACGAAGGUGAAAAGCCCAAAUGUUAAACAUCUGAAAAAAUGCCGCGUGACACAAGCAGGAUGUCGACAACACCACUCAAAAGCACAGCAGAGGUCACACACAAAGCCACAGCCCUACAGACCCAAAGCUCGUAGAGGGAGUCUGGCUCCAAUUUUGCUACAGUAAAGGAAUGAAGUGAAGGAGUGACCACAUCUAGUGGUGAGUCUCCUGCUUUGUUUCUUCUGAAGAAGAUGAAAUAAAAAGAAAAACAGAAACGAAGAUCUUUAAAGAAACUUUUCUUUGCUGUUUGGCAUUGCGUUACAUUUCAGUGCAAUGCAAAUCAUAUGCAGUACUAACUAUAAAAAUCACAAUAUUUCUCAGAUCAGUGGUAUAUAAGAAAUAUGUGUAUGACAUAAAAAGGUUAUUAAGGCACUACAUAAAUGAAUGUAUCUGAUACAAUUAUAAUUUGAUGUUUAUGUUUAUAAGUCAGUUUUUAAUAUGGCCUUAUUCAUUUUACUGGUUUUGAUGGAAUGAAGAACAAGUUUUCAGUCUUCUAUUGUUGUAACUUUGCACUGUAACUGCUAUUGUUUCAUGAAUUUCAGUUUCAAAUAAAGUCACCCAGAGUUAAAGCAUAAAAA